Long non-coding RNA from Cydia splendana, 647 nucleotides. RefSeq lists it as uncharacterized. The transcript has 3 exons. The record is from RefSeq and is a predicted model, not a curated record. NCBI's taxonomy places the organism in Eukaryota, Metazoa, Arthropoda, Insecta, Lepidoptera, Tortricidae.
AGAACUAUUAUCUACAUCUCUGUAAAACAAAUAGGUACAUCAAAUCUACAUUCAACCAUUAUUAAUCUCAUUAAAUGCUUUAUGAAAAAAAUGAAAUAUAGGCAUGUAUUUUUUAAUGAAUUAAUUGCAUCAUUUACUCGGACAGUAAUUGAUUAGUGGUUAAUUAACUUGUUUUCCUUUAUUUCUCGUGAAUAAGCUGAACAUGAAGGUCCAUACAUUAACAAUUUUAUUAGCCGUUACAAUCAUCAAUUGUACGUACUCCUGGUGGGAUUCAGAAUUCUUAAUUGUCUAUCCUGUUGCAAUCCUACGUACGGAUAACCAAGGUGAUCGUAACUCAUUUCAAAAGCGUAGUCGUGCAAAACGUGAAAUGAAGCGAGACCUAGAGACUUCUAAGUAUGUACUUGGAAGAGUAAAACAAGACCUGCAAUCAAUAAGGUUAUCAUUCACACGAGAAUUUGCGAGAAUGGAACAACAGUUGAAUGAAUGUAGUAGAAGAGAAAUAGAUCCUUCGACCGCACCCAAGAAGCCACCUGCUUACGAAUACCCUGACACUCCUGAUUAUGAUUAUAAUUAUUAGUCGUUUACGUCAGGAUGCUAUAUUCUUAUAAAAGUGUCGAUAUCUAAAAUAAAUCAGAGUUUCAUUAAGG